AGAACGAACGCUGGCGGCGUGGAUAAGACAUGCAAGUCGAACGGGAUUAUUUUUGUAGCAAUACAGAAAUAAUUCAGUGGCGAACGGGUGCGUAACACGUGGGCAAUCUGCCGAAAAGUGGGGGAUAGCUCGCCGAAAGGCGAAUUAAUACCGCAUGUGGUGAGGGACGACAUCUUCCUGAAUCCAAAGCCGGGGCAACUGCGCUUUGUUAGGAGCCGCCGGCCGUACUCAGCUAGUUAGGUUGGAGGUAAACGGGCGUCACCCAACGGACGUUUUGUACGGGUAAGGUCUCGGGUUCUUGGAGAGGACGGACCAGUCACACUGGAACGUACGAGACAACGGUCCGACGAACACCCUACCGGGUGGGCACGCGAGUCGAGAAUUUUU
RNAcentral lists this ribosomal RNA (387 nucleotides) under uncultured soil bacterium. Its description in RNAcentral is "bacterial SSU rRNA". It matches the Rfam family "Bacterial small subunit ribosomal RNA", at positions 26 to 366 of the family's 1533-position model. The record is from RNAcentral.